This 24-nucleotide unclassified non-coding RNA is filed under the name Klebsiella pneumoniae subsp. pneumoniae BJ1-GA. Its description in RNAcentral is "sroB". Lineage: Bacteria; Pseudomonadati; Pseudomonadota; Gammaproteobacteria; Enterobacterales; Enterobacteriaceae. The record is from RNAcentral.
AACAGGCAGCCGCCAGGCGUCAAA